Long non-coding RNA from Pezoporus occidentalis (night parrot), 3243 nucleotides. RefSeq lists it as uncharacterized. Lineage: Eukaryota; Metazoa; Chordata; Aves; Psittaciformes; Psittacidae. The transcript is spliced from 10 exons. The record is from RefSeq and is a predicted model, not a curated record.
CCCAGAAAAGAAAGAAAAUACGUUUUCUGUGAGGAAAUAUCCCGCGUUUUGGGCAGGCUGUCCGACCUCUCGCUUCUUAAUGCCGCCUCAGAGCAGCCUCGGGUCCCACAGCAGCCCCUGAGGCGGGGCGGAGGGGCUCCGGGGGGCUCCUGCUUCCCUCUGCACUCUGAGCCCCUGCUCUAACGAAACUUACCUAAACCGUGUAACAUUAAUGUAAAUGGGUUUAAUUGCCGCGUAUUUAAGCCAUGAAGCCGGACUGAACAAUCUGUUAAAACUUGGCCUGUUCCCAAGCCAUUGACACCAUCCAGCUUCCCCGCGCCAUGGGGGGGAAUAGGGGGAAGGGGGUGUCCAAAUACGUUUUGAUACAGGAGUUUUCAAUGUACCAGGAUUUCUUGUUCCUGUAAGUAGGACCAGUGCCCUGAAGGCGUUUCUACAUAAACUGCCAUCUGCAAAGGGCUGUUUCUUACCUGAUGCUACUUGAAGAAAACUGCCAUUAAAUCUUUCUGGAAGCAGCAUGUGUCUCUCUGGCAUAGUUUGAAAGGGACCAACUUGCAGAAAAAAAAUGGAAGUUCUGUGCUGAUAACAGGCAUGAGAAGGUUCACCUGAAAGGACUGUUGUCGUACAUCCCAGGACAGAUUUGGAUGCCCCCGGGGUGAUGUUUCUGAGUAACUGUGCAGGUGGAGCUGUCACUGUGCCUUGCAGCUGUCUGUAAUUAAACGUACAGAAGGAAUAUCCUCAGACCUGAAGCUUUGUAUCCUUAAAUAUGACAGACUUAAAGAUGUCAGGAUUAAAGAUGUUUGUUUGGCUAGUCCCACUAAUAAUGGAUACUUCUGAGUUAAUUCACCCGUGAAAAGCACAUAUCUACCAGUAUUUUUUGGUGCUCCUUUUCCAAGUGAAUACCAAAUACAGUAGAGAAUCAUGCUGAUGCACCUUACUGCACUAUGCACAGACAACAGUACUUUUUCCCAGGAGCUAAUUCAGCAUAGAUAUUGUCACCUAGCUAUAAUGCAGCAUCUAGUUGAGGUACCAGUGACUAUAUCCCACAUCUCCCAAGGGGUUGUCUCAUACCCAGUUGGAGCUCUCCCAUAAGACAACCAUUAAUUGUCGCUCACUAAUAGUGUGUCUUUUGUUACUGGAGACACUAUGAAAUAUUUGUCUUGGAUAAGAAAUCUCACGGUUUCUGCUCCAAAGCUGUUCCUGGUUCUCUAUGACUUGAUCUUACAGUCCACCUACCUUUAGACAGCUUUACUGUGAAUAGUAGGUCCAUGUUUGCUGCCAGUUUUGGCCGAGCAGUCCUGCAGUCAUUGUUUAAGUAGAAUGAAUGCUGAGCUCUAGGAUCUGAGUGGUGGCUCAGUGACAUGCACAGGAUGUAAAAAAGAAUUUGGGGUUGGCACUAACUGGAUUAGACCAGCUGCCCAAGUGUUCUGUCCCCAGAAGGAGAAACGAGAUAUUAUUUAGGGAGACCAUACCAGCCUGGCCACUUUCUGCAGUCCAUUCCCCUUGACUUUUCUAGCACUCAGAGCAGCUGUAUUAGGUACGUUAGGCAGUGUAGCCCUGCUUAGCCAUUUCAGUGUCUGUUUCUGGACUUUUGGUCCAUUAAGUUCUCUCUUAUUUUUUUGUGAUCCUCCAGAUGCAGUCACCCUCCACAGCCUUCUGCAUCAGCAAGUUCCAGAAGUUCAGGUGCAGUUGGAUGCAUGUUGUGCUAAAGUGCAGGAGAGGGGAUCAUCUGUGCCAUAUCUUUCUGCUUUCUAAUACAAAAUGCUGCGGUCUACCAGGACACGGUCUUGACUCACACAGAAAAAAAAGUGUUGGGUUAUAUGUGGACUAGAACCUGAAUACAUAUUGAUAAACCAUCUCAAAAAGCUACACUAACUAACACAAGAAAUAAGUCACCAAUUUCUGUGUACCUUGUGUAUGAAGAGAACCAAUUCCAUAUUUAUCAGAACACCAGACACUCCUUCUUCCACCUCUCCUUCUCAGCUUCAGUAAUUCCCUCUCCCCUAGCCUGCUGCCAUCCCUCAGACAGAAGAGGACAGUCCUUCACUGAGUAGAUGUGCGUCUUCCUCAUUGCCACAUCAUGUCUGAAGAAGUGACACCUGAUGGAGGUUUUGAAGAAUGCUUGGGCUUUUUUUGCUGGAUACCUGCUAAAGAUACAACUCCUGACCAAAAGAAACUGAGAUGGGAAUAAGAGGACAGAUGGCAGAAAUUUCCCAAGGGAGAAAAGAGAAUUACUGGUGAAGAUCAGGAUCAGACCUGCAGUGGUGAUCGUGAAAUGGAAAUGCCUGAAAACUCAAUUUCUCAAAGUUGAUAUAAUCCGUGCCUAGGUACCCAGCUUCUCUGAAUUCUGAGGCAAAUGGGGCAACAGGAGAAAACUGGGAGGUGCUGGAUGACUGACUUGGUGUGAGAACUGUAUGGAUAGGAAGAAGUAACCUAGACCCAAGAUGCAAGUUCACGGAUUGCAGGACAGGAGGCCAAACACUGAAACAGCAUCUGACAAAAAAGGGAGAUAGAGAAGAUUGCUGCUGCUGAAUCAGAUUUACUUCAAGGUCAGGAACUAAAGUUUUACCUAGCGCUAGAUGAUGAAAUUGGAGUAACUUGGAGAAAGCAAGUAAUCGUGAGGACAUAUUUCAAGUUAAAUGAUUUUUCCUCAAGAAAGAUAACAUGAACAUAAUUUCAAGGAGAAGUAGAAGGAGAUUAAUGGUGAGUGAUUUUGAGAGAAGAUGCUGCCGGGGCACCAUAGUGCCUGAGAGUCAGGAGCAGCGGCCACCCUGAGCUGGGAACUAAGGAGCUUCCAGCCCAUGUAAGGCCUGUUCCGGCACCCCCAGGAGUGAUUUCUUCUAGGAAGUUUAUUCCUGCCCUAAGGGUAGUAGGAGUGGAGCCCAAAAUUCUCAAAGAACAUUGACUUUGUCAGUAGCUAAAAUGCCACCCUGAGAAAGAAAACCUCUCUAGAGGAAUAAUCUCUUGCCUUUAACAGGAAAAGCUAUGCUGGAAAUUUGGCUUCAAGAACAGAGUGAACAGGGGGCAGCAGGAAAAAAAUGAAACUGAGCAACAUAACAGAAAACUUUCCUGAUAUCUGUGGAAUAUAACAGAAGUCCCAGCUAUCAAGCAAGUGUGGAUAAUUAUUGAUUCAUUAUGAUUUAUUUCAGUACCCACUGAAAAAAAAAAAUUCUCACUGACUUCAAGAGAUGGCAAACUGAGCUCAGGGAAAGAUAAAAUAAAACCCUGGUCAUUUAGUCAAUGGAA